CUGCCGUAAACCUAUCUCGGAGCAAGGGACUAGACCUUACUGCUCUUGCACUAAAGACACCAAACCUAAAUAGGGCAGUGGCUCAAACCAGAAGCCAGAUUGCUAACCAAAUGAGGACAGUGCAGAGGCUGAACGGGCCUCGCGUAGGGAAAGCUGCAAGUCAGAACUUGUGGUGCCUCCCCGGACAUGGUGGUGGUAGGGUCUCAGAGGAUUGCGGUGGUUCACCGGACCAGGAAUGGCCUGCUUUUCAGAGCAGAGUACCCUACAGGGGAUGGAGCUGAGAAGCAGGAAGCGAUAGCAGGACUGUGGAUCUGGUGUUUGCUUCUACUGGCUGCUGCAUGUGAAGAUCCUGACCUCAAGGAGUUGGGGGAAGAGCUUGGGAUUCUGUGUAUUGGCUUAAGGAUAAUUUCCACCAUGCAGCAGGCCACGCAGAAGCGUGUCUGCACGUACCUGGGUCCAGGUGCAGCUGGAUGA
This 474-nucleotide long non-coding RNA is filed under the name Apteryx owenii (little spotted kiwi). RNAcentral describes it as "lncRNA (ENSAOWG00000004588.1)". The record is from RNAcentral. Lineage: Eukaryota; Metazoa; Chordata; Aves; Apterygiformes; Apterygidae.